AUCCAGACUCCUACGGGAGGCAGCAGUGGGGAAUAUUGCACAAUGGGGGAAACCCUGAUGCAGCGACGCCGCGUGAGUGAAGAAGUAUUUCGGUAUGUAAAGCUCUAUCAGCAGGGAAGAAGAAGGACGGUACCUGAGUAAGAAGCCCCGGCUAACUACGUGCCAGCAGCCGCGGUAAUACGUAGGGGGCAAGCGUUAUCCGGAUUUACUGGGUGUAAAGGGAGCGUAGACGGCGAUGCAAGCCAGAUGUGAAAGCCCGGGGCUCAACCCCGGGACUGCAUUUGGAACUGUGUGGCUGGAGUGUCGGAGAGGCAGGCGGAAUUCCUAGUGUAGCGGUGAAAUGCGUAGAUAUUAGGAGGAACACCAGUGGCGAAGGCGGCCUGCUGGACGAUGACUGACGUUGAGGCUCGAAAGCGUGGGGAGCAAACAGGAUUAGAUACCCUAGUACU
Molecule: ribosomal RNA, 449 nt
Filed under: uncultured bacterium
Lineage: Bacteria
Description: bacterial SSU rRNA
Rfam family: Bacterial small subunit ribosomal RNA
Source: RNAcentral